Hibiscus syriacus is the source of this 371-nucleotide long non-coding RNA. RefSeq lists it as uncharacterized. The record is from RefSeq and is a predicted model, not a curated record. The transcript has 2 exons. NCBI's taxonomy places the organism in Eukaryota, Viridiplantae, Streptophyta, Magnoliopsida, Malvales, Malvaceae.
UUUAUGGCUGAUAGAUUUAUGCAACUGCAGUGUUACACUAGCUCUUGAGUGCACAUAAUCGAUUUAAUGGGCAUGUUUGGUGCAUGCAUUUUAUAUGCUGCGGAAAUAUGUCUAAUGAUUCAAUAAAAUUAAGAUAUAUAUAGUCCUUUUAAAUUAUUUAUUUUCCAAAAUUUGCACUCUUUUUCAUUUCAAAUUAAAACCAUCUAAUCACUGUAGCCAUUACUCAUUGUUAAUGUGUUUCAUGGAAACUAAUGUUUCCUCUGGACUUAUGCAGAGCAAGGGGUGGACUUGGAUGAGUUUUCCCAGUCAACUGCCGGGAAGUUCCAGGCUGAUGUUGGGAAAGCUUGGGCCUCGGAAAUAGCAUCGAGAAG